RNAcentral lists this ribosomal RNA (497 nucleotides) under uncultured bacterium. Its description in RNAcentral is "partial 16S ribosomal RNA". It matches the Rfam family "Bacterial small subunit ribosomal RNA", at positions 28 to 507 of the family's 1533-position model. The record is from RNAcentral.
GAUGAACGCUGGCGGCGUGCCUAAUACAUGCAAGUCGAGCGAACAGACGAGGAGCUUGCUCCUUCGACGUUAGCGGCGGACGGGUGAGUAACACGUAGGUAACCUACCUAUAAGACUGGGAUAACUUCGGGAAACCGGAGCUAAUACCGGAUAAUAUUUCGAACCGCAUGGUUCGAUAGUGAAAGAUGGCUUUGCUGUCACUUAUAGAUGGAUCUGCGCCGCAUUAGCUAGUUGGUAAGGUAACGGCUUACCAAGGCAACGAUACGUAGCCGACCUGAGAGGGUGAUCGGCCACACUGGAACUGAGACACGGUCCAGACUCCUACGGGAGGCAGCAGUAGGGAAUCUUCCGCAAUGGGCGAAAGCCUGACGGAGCAACGCCGCGUGAGUGAUGAAGGUCUUCGGAUCGUAAAACUCUGUUAUUAGGGAAGAACAAACGUGUAAGUAACUAUGCACGUCUUGACGGUACCUAAUCAGAAAGCCACGGCUAACUACGUG